GGCGGACGGGUGAGUAACGCGUAAGAACUUGCCCUUUAGACUGGGAUAACAGAGGGAAACUUCUGAUAAUACUGGAUAAGUUAGUAUAUCGCAUGAUAUGCAAAAUGAAAGCUACGGCACUAAAGGAGAGCUUUGCGUCCUAUUAGCUAGUUGGUAAGGUAAGAGCUUACCAAGGCGAUGAUAGGUAGCCGGCCUGAGAGGGUGGACGGCCACAAGGGGACUGAGAUACGGCCCUUACUCCUACGGGAGGCAGCAGGU
Molecule: ribosomal RNA, 258 nt
Filed under: uncultured Leptotrichia sp.
Lineage: Bacteria; Fusobacteriati; Fusobacteriota; Fusobacteriia; Fusobacteriales; Leptotrichiaceae
Description: partial 16S ribosomal RNA
Rfam family: Bacterial small subunit ribosomal RNA
Source: RNAcentral